UCCCUAUGAUGAAGAAAUCCCCUAAUUAGAUAGGAAGUGCCGUAUGACACUUUAAAACGCGGCGGCGUU
Small nucleolar RNA from Impatiens glandulifera, 69 nucleotides. RefSeq annotates it as small nucleolar RNA U49. The record is from RefSeq and is a predicted model, not a curated record. The transcript has a single exon. NCBI's taxonomy places the organism in Eukaryota, Viridiplantae, Streptophyta, Magnoliopsida, Ericales, Balsaminaceae.